AAUUUAUGUUCUUGGAACAGAACGUCACAGAGGGUGAGAAUCCCGUGCGAUGAGAUGCCCAAUUCUAUGUAAGGUGCUUCGAAGAGUCGAGUUGUUGGGAAUGCCAGCUCUAAGUGGGUGGUAAAUUCCAUCUAAAGCUAAAUAUUGGCGAGAGACCGAUAGCGAACAAGUACAGUGAUGGAAAGAUGAAAAGAACUUUGAAAAGAGAGUGAAAAAGUACGUGAAAUUGUUGACACGGGAAGGGUAUGAGAUCAGACUUGGUGUUUUGCAACCUUACUCUCGGGUGGGGCCCCUGCAGUUCAUCGGGGCCAGCAUCAGUUUGGAUGGUAGGAUAAAUGGCAUUGGGAAUGUAGCUUGGCUUCGGUUAAGGUGUUAUAGCCUUUGUUGAUACUGCCUGUCUAGACUGAAGGACUGCGGUCUUUUGGACCUAAGGAUGGC
This 438-nucleotide ribosomal RNA is filed under the name Suzukiozyma palmioleophila. RNAcentral's name for it is "eukaryotic LSU rRNA". It matches the Rfam family "Eukaryotic large subunit ribosomal RNA", at positions 178 to 628 of the family's 3401-position model. Lineage: Eukaryota; Fungi; Ascomycota; Pichiomycetes; Serinales; Debaryomycetaceae. The record is from RNAcentral.